UACAGAGGUCCCGAGCGUUGUUCGGAUUCAUUGGGCGUAAAGGGUGCGUAGGCGGUCUGUCGCGUCUGCUGUGAAAACUCGGGGCUUAACCCCGGGCCUGCAGUGGGUACGGGCAGACUAGAGUGCGGUAGGGGAGACUGGAAUUCCUGGUGUAGCGGUGAAAUGCGCAGAUAUCAGGAAGAACACCCGUGGCUAAGGCGGUUCUCUAGUACGGUACUGACGCUGAGACGCGAAAGCGUGGGGAGCGAACAGG
This 253-nucleotide ribosomal RNA is filed under the name uncultured bacterium. Its description in RNAcentral is "partial 16S ribosomal RNA". It matches the Rfam family "Bacterial small subunit ribosomal RNA", at positions 524 to 776 of the family's 1533-position model. The record is from RNAcentral.